RNAcentral lists this ribosomal RNA (769 nucleotides) under Rhodobacteraceae bacterium TL. RNAcentral describes it as "bacterial SSU rRNA". It matches the Rfam family "Bacterial small subunit ribosomal RNA", at positions 32 to 851 of the family's 1533-position model. The record is from RNAcentral. Lineage: Bacteria; Pseudomonadati; Pseudomonadota; Alphaproteobacteria; Rhodobacterales; Paracoccaceae.
AACGCUGGCGGCAGGCCUAACACAUGCAAGUCGAGCGCUACCUUCGGGUGGAGCGGCGGACGGGUUAGUAACGCGUGGGAACGUACCCAGAUCUAAGGAAUAGCCACUGGAAACGGUGAGUAAUACCUUAUACGCUUCGGGGGAAAGAUUUAUCGGAUUUGGAUCGGCCCGCGUUAGAUUAGAUAGUUGGUGGGGUAAUGGCCUACCAAGUCUACGAUCUAUAGCUGGUUUUAGAGGAUGAUCAGCAACACUGGGACUGAGACACGGCCCAGACUCUACGGGAGGCAGCAGUGGGGAAUCUUGGACAAUGGGCGCAAGCCUGAUCCAGCCAUGCCGCGUGAGUGAUGAAGGCCUUAGGGUCGUAAAGCUCUUUCGCCAGAGAUGAUAAUGACAGUAUCUGGUAAAGAAACCCCGGCUAACUCCGUGCCAGCAGCCGCGGUAAUACGGAGGGGGUUAGCGUUGUUCGGAAUUACUGGGCGUAAAGCGUACGUAGGCGGAUUAGUCAGUCAGAGGUGAAAUCCCAGGGCUCAACCCUGGAACUGCCUUUGAUACUGCUAGUCUUGAGUUCGAGAGAGGUGAGUGGAAUUCCAAGUGUAGAGGUGAAAUUCGUAGAUAUUUGGAGGAACACCAGUGGCGAAGGCGGCUCACUGGCUCGAUACUGACGCUGAGGUACGAAAGUGUGGGGAGCAAACAGGAUUAGAUACCCUGGUAGUCCACACCGUAAACGAUGAAUGCCAGUCGUCGGGCAGUAUACUGUUCGGUGACACAC